Molecule: long non-coding RNA, 100 nt
Organism: Gopherus evgoodei (Goodes thornscrub tortoise)
Lineage: Eukaryota; Metazoa; Chordata; Testudines; Testudinidae
Exons: 3
Source: RefSeq, a predicted model, not a curated record
GGACAUCUGGAUCUGGUUGCCCUAGCUGGGAAGUGCAUCUCUCCCCCGGGCUGACAGCGAUCCAUCUCAUCCGGGGGGAGCUGCUCAGGGCAGGCUGAGC